This 253-nucleotide ribosomal RNA is filed under the name uncultured bacterium. Its description in RNAcentral is "partial 16S ribosomal RNA". It matches the Rfam family "Bacterial small subunit ribosomal RNA", at positions 524 to 776 of the family's 1533-position model. The record is from RNAcentral.
UACGGAGGGGACGAGCGUUGUCCGAAGUUACUGGGCGUAAAGCGCGCGUAGGCGGGUUGGCAAGUCUGCUGUGAAAGCCCGGGGCUUAACCCCGGAGGGUCGGUGGAUACUGCCAGUCUUGAAGGUGCUAGGGGGAGAUGGAAUUACCGGUGUAGCAGUGAAAUGCGUAGAUAUCGGUAGGAACACCAGUGGCGAAGGCGGUCUCCUGGGGCACUCUUGACGCUGAGGCGCGAAAGCUGGGGGAGCGAACGGG